UUUCAUGGAGAGUUUGAUCCUGGCUCAGGACGAACGCUGGCGGCGUGCCUAAUACAUGCAAGUCGAGCGAACCGACGGGAGCUUGCUCCCUUAGGUUAGCGGCGGACGGGUGAGUAACACGUGGGUAACCUGCCUGUAAGACUGGGAUAACUCCGGGAAACCGGGGCUAAUACCGGAUGCUUGAUUGAACCGCAUGGUUCAAUUAUAAAAGGUGGCUUUUAGCUACCACUUACAGAUGGACCCGCGGCGCAUUAGCUAGUUGGUGAGGUAACGGCUCACCAAGGCAACGAUGCGUAGCCGACCUGAGAGGGUGAUCGGCCACACUGGGACUGAGACACGGCCCAGACUCCUACGGGAGGCAGCAGUAGGGAAUCUUCCGCAAUGGACGAAAGUCUGACGGAGCAACGCCGCGUGAGUGAUGUAAGGUUUUCGGAUCGUAAAACUCUGUUGUUAGGGAAGAACAAGUACCGUUCGAAUAGGGCGGUACCUUGACGGUACCUAACCAGAAAGCCACGGCUAACUACGUGCCAGCA
Molecule: ribosomal RNA, 533 nt
Filed under: Bacillus haynesii
Lineage: Bacteria; Bacillati; Bacillota; Bacilli; Caryophanales; Bacillaceae
Description: bacterial SSU rRNA
Rfam family: Bacterial small subunit ribosomal RNA
Source: RNAcentral